This 253-nucleotide ribosomal RNA is filed under the name uncultured bacterium. RNAcentral's name for it is "partial 16S ribosomal RNA". It matches the Rfam family "Bacterial small subunit ribosomal RNA", at positions 524 to 776 of the family's 1533-position model. The record is from RNAcentral.
UACGUAGGGGGCAAGCGUUGUCCGGAAUCAUUGGGCGUAAAGAGCGUGUAGGCGGCCCGGUAAGUCCGCUGUGAAAGUCCAGGGCUCAACCCUGGGAUGCCGGUGGAUACUGUCGGGCUCGAGUCCGGAAGAGGAGUGUGGAAUUCCUGGUGUAGCGGUGAAAUGCGCAGAUAUCAGGAGGAACACCAAUGGCGAAGGCAGCACUCUGGGACGUGACUGACGCUGAGACGCGAAAGCUAGGGGAGCGAACGGG